CUCCUACCGAUUGAAUGGUCCGGUGAAGUGUUCGGAUCGCGGCGAUGCGGGCGGUUCGCCGCCUGUGACGUUGCGAGAAGUCCACUGAACCUUAUCAUUUAGAGGAAGGAGAAGUCGUAACAAGGUU
RNAcentral lists this ribosomal RNA (127 nucleotides) under uncultured eukaryote. RNAcentral's name for it is "partial 18S ribosomal RNA". It matches the Rfam family "Eukaryotic small subunit ribosomal RNA", at positions 1679 to 1801 of the family's 1831-position model. The record is from RNAcentral.